GUGGGGAAUAUUGCACAAUGGGCGCAAGCCUGAUGCAGCAACGCCGCGUGAGGGAUGACGGCCUUCGGGUUGUAAACCUCUUUUAGUAGGGAAGAAGCGUAAGUGACGGUACCUGCAGAAAAAGCACCGGCUAACUACGUGCCAGCAGCCGCGGUAAUACGUAGGGUGCAAGCGUUGUCCGGAAUUAUUGGGCGUAAAGAGCUCGUAGGCGGCUUGUCGCGUCUGCCGUGAAAACCCAGGGCUCAACUCUGGGCGUGCGGUGGGUACGGGCAGGCUAGAGUGCGGUAGGGGAGAUUGGAAUUCCUGGUGUAGCGGUGGAAUGCGCAGAUAUCAGGAGGAACACCGAUGGCGAAGGCAGAUCUCUGGGCCGUAACUGACGCUGAGGAGCGAAAGCAUGGGGAGCGAACAGGAUUAGAUACCCCUGUAGUCC
RNAcentral lists this ribosomal RNA (430 nucleotides) under uncultured bacterium. RNAcentral describes it as "partial 16S ribosomal RNA". It matches the Rfam family "Bacterial small subunit ribosomal RNA", at positions 354 to 796 of the family's 1533-position model. The record is from RNAcentral.